UCCACGCCGUAAACGAUGAUAACUAGCUGUUCGGGCUCUACGAGCUUGAGUGGCGCAGCUAACGCAUUAAGUUAUCCGCCUGGGGAGUACGGUCGCAAGAUUAAAACUCAAAGGAAUUGACGGGGGCCUGCACAAGCGGUGGAGCAUGUGGUUUAAUUCGAAGCAACGCGCAGAACCUUACCAGCGUUUGACAUCCUAAUCGCGGUUUUCAGAGAUGAUU
Molecule: ribosomal RNA, 220 nt
Filed under: uncultured bacterium
Lineage: Bacteria
Description: partial 16S ribosomal RNA
Rfam family: Bacterial small subunit ribosomal RNA
Source: RNAcentral